This 94-nucleotide transfer RNA is filed under the name Candidatus Aquicultor primus. Its description in RNAcentral is "Actinobacteria bacterium GWC2_53_9 tRNA-Ser". It matches the Rfam family "tRNA". Rfam says of the family: Transfer RNA (tRNA) molecules are approximately 80 nucleotides in length. Their secondary structure includes four short double-helical elements and three loops (D, anti-codon, and T loops). RNAcentral also lists the same sequence under 1 other name. Lineage: Bacteria; Bacillati; Actinomycetota; Candidatus Aquicultoria; Candidatus Aquicultorales; Candidatus Aquicultoraceae. The record is from RNAcentral.
GGAGAGAUGGCCGAGUCGGUCGAAGGCGCUCGCCUGCUAAGCGAGUAGGGGGUUUAAAACUCCCUCGAGGGUUCGAAUCCCUCUCUCUCCGCCA